Molecule: long non-coding RNA, 1700 nt
Organism: Ictalurus punctatus (channel catfish)
Lineage: Eukaryota; Metazoa; Chordata; Actinopteri; Siluriformes; Ictaluridae
Source: Ensembl
GGGNNNNNNNNNNNNNNNNNNNNGAUAAAUACUGAGCAGAAGAGAAACUCGGUCUUUUCUUUCCUCCUGACUUCUUCAGUCUGCAGAAGGAGCUGAAACUGAGAGCGCUUCAUGCUCUGCUGCUCCGUGAGGAUAUCUUUGGCCAUGUAGCCGUCGCUUGCGUCUUUCCUAUCUCUGGAGGAGGAAGAGGAGUUAAAACAUAUCUGCCAAGGGAUGUGUCACUCAGUCCUUCUGCCCCGGUGUCAGAUGUCAUGUGGGGGGGCCACGCCCAUGGAAGUCCCCCUGCAGUCUGCACUCGGGGUCCAGCGGGCCUGCAGUGGACAGCGCCGGGUCUACACCGACCUGCCUAUUGAGCCCCAGAUUCCAAAAGCAACCACAAAAACCACAAAAACCUUUUUCGCUUUUGGCGUCUGUUGCUUGGUUGGCAGGCUCUGUGGUUGGCUUGCCGUUGAAAAAACCACCUUUUAUUAAAGCUCUUCAAUGCUGUACGCCAUUUCCAACUUAACACCAAAAAAAAUCAAUAAAAACAGUAAAAUCAUGGAACGUAAAAUGUCUCUGGUGUUGUUUUUUUGUUUUAAAAAAUGUUAAUCAUUUAACCUGCAGGUGUGUAACGUUUAUUACACUUUAGUGUGAUAAUGAGGGAACUAAAAUAUAUUUCUUCUACUUUUAAUAAUCAGAAGCUACUAUACUGUAGCGAUAUUACAGGUUACUGUAUUGCCAAGAGGAUGUGGGCCGGCCUAAUGAUUGAGUUCAGGUGCUUCAGCCACACCCACUUCUAACAGGUGCAUAAGCCUCAGAUCUCAGCUGUGGAGUGUGAUGGGAACGCAAACCCUGUGCUGUUGUUUAAGUCUUGACCUCCAUAACACAUGGUGAGAAUUUGGGGAGAACAUCAAGUUUUUCACCCAAAACACGUGCUAUUUUUUCAGGUGAAAUUUUAGCAGCUUUUCCUCACAUUCACACCGCUGCUUACGGGGGUCAAGGUGUAGACUGGACUGUGCUUUGUUUCAGCCUGUGUCCCUCCUAAGCUGAGAUCUGAGGGUUUUGGACACGCCCAUUUGUGACAAUAUGGUGCUAUUUCAUGUAGAACUCUGUGUAUAUACUCUGGGAUGCCGCUUCCACUAUAUAGAAGUUAAAUUGAAGAUGUUUGUACUGAGUAUUCAUCUGCACUGUCACCAAAAGUGUUGUGUAGCCUCAGGUCUUGGUCCUGAAGAUGCCUACCAAGUUUUGCGUCCGUGUGUAAGGUCAUUGCUGAGAUACAGCCUCACUUCCUGUUUAGCGUCCUCGUUGGCAGAUUCGUUGUCCCAUUACGGACAAACCAAUUGGAGUAUUCAAAAUUCUUUUGAAAUUUUGUUUAAUUCAACAGAUAACGUUUGUGAGGCUUACGCUCACUGACGUAUGUUGUGACGUAAAUUUAGUGUUUAUUGGACAACAUUUUCAGGAGGAGUAGCAAAAGCGAUUUUUUUUGACAAAAUCCACAGCGGCACAAAAUCUAUUUAGGCAGAAAAUAGGCACAAAUUUGACCCGAUGGUGGCGCUAGACGUUAGCAGCACUUAGUUCAAAUUUGGUCAGAAUGUUCCUUAGAACCUCCCCAAGCAGUGUCCCAAAUUUUACAAGGUUUUACCAGACUGUUCUAUGAGCUGCCACAGACACAGACGCCAGAAGAAGAAAAGAAUAUUAAUAAUAAAAGGUGGAAUAACAGU